Molecule: long non-coding RNA, 769 nt
Organism: Quercus lobata
Lineage: Eukaryota; Viridiplantae; Streptophyta; Magnoliopsida; Fagales; Fagaceae
Exons: 5
Source: RefSeq, a predicted model, not a curated record
CCUCAAAGAGAAGAAGAGCCUUCAUAUGAGUGAGGCUCGAUUGUGCAAUAUGAAGGAAGGUAAAGCCUUUUCAACGCUCGUAAAGGAUUGGGCAAUAAAGAGCAAAGACCGGUGGUUCAAGUGUGGAAGGGGGUGGAAUAAAGAAUGUUUACUCCUAAGCCAACGUGUUAUAUUGGAGUUUGGAAGAGAACACGUUUAUUUUGGAAUGGAAGGAUUUGGAAAGAAGGUAAUUAAGAUGCUGUUUGGUCAUCCAGUUUAAACACACAUGUUCAGUGUUUAAACCUGGUCAGGUGAGAUACCAAGAGAACAUUUACUCACAGACCAACGCAUGUUCUGUGUGCGUACUGUUCUAAUCACGACACACAUAAUAAUGAACAGGUUUUUUUUGGACACCAUACGAUAAUUAUUUGCAUCCAUGGUUUCUUGCAGAAAAAUAUAUAUGGACUACAACAGCGCCAUUGCUAUGAUUCCAAAUUAUGGAGUAUUACCAUCCAGAAAGUCAUUCGACAGUUUGGAUUGUUGCAAAGAUGUCUAAAGUGACUUGAAAAUUUCAAUAAAUCUGUGCAUUGUGUAAAGUUGAUUGGAAAGUUCGGUGUUAAUUGGCUUAGGAAGCAUACACAAUACCAUCAGCUUUGGAACGAGCGAGCUGAACAUGUAGUUGGGGAUGACAAUUUCCAUUUAGGUGUGGAUUAACAUGGUACCAUCAACAUGGUUACCUAUUCACAACACCAGAGGCGUCUGUCCAUAUGUACCAGCAAAUUAAGAUCAA